This is a non-coding RNA of Cyanistes caeruleus (blue tit), 1108 nucleotides long. Lineage: Eukaryota; Metazoa; Chordata; Aves; Passeriformes; Paridae. The record is from RefSeq and is a predicted model, not a curated record.
CCCUGGCUGUCCCUGGAGCAGUGGGAGCUGCCGCUGGCCCCAGGCACUGUCCUGUGAGGAGCUGCUGAAGGACGCUGAGACUGAGGGGGCUGAGGAGGCGCUGAUGCUGAAGGGACCUUGCAAACCUUGAGCUGUCCUGAAGAGCUUGAGGACAGGCAGACACUGAGAGGAGCCAGCAGGGAGAAGCUGAAGGCCUGGAGCAAGAGCAGUGAGCAGGGAUGUGCUGGGGCCACGCGAGAGCCUGGAUGUCCCAUCUGCUGUCCCUGUCCAGGAGAGCUGCUCUGCAUGGCAGGAAAAGACUGAGGGAGAGGCUUUGAAGAUGGGGCGGCUGGGAUCCCUCUGAUGAUAGCUCUGUUUAGAGAUGGAUGGCCUUGCACAUAGAAAAUGAGAAUUACAUGAAUAUUUCCUGUGUAUAGAGUUGUGUAGUUACCUAUUUCUAUUGAUGUGGUUGUAGGUCUAUGGCUGUUUAAAUAGGUUUAUUGGUAUUUCUAUAGGAACAUACAUGUAUUUUUAUAUGUACGUUUAUCUAUUUCUAAAUAGAAUUCUUUUGACAUGUGUAUCCAGAUGUAUAGGUGUAUAUUUGUACUGAUGCAGUUGUAUGGCUAUUUAGACUGGGACAGUGACAUUUGUAUAUUUUCAAAUAGUUUUGUUUAAUAUAUCUAUAUGUAUAUAUAUUGUAUGAAAUAUGUCAUAUUUAAUCUGUAUUUCCAUCUGUAGAUUGUUAUAUAUGUAUAUAUAGAAGAAUUUAGUUCUAUUGAAACAUGUAUGGGGUGGUAUAGUUGUAUAAUUCUAUCGAUCGAAUUCUUAGUACAGGGUUAUUUAGAGGGAGACACUGAUAUUUUUGUAUUUCUAUAUGGGCUGUAAGAUUGUGCUAAUCUGUAAUAAAUUAAGCUGUUAAACACCUCACUGAUCUUUGUUUAUAGUGACUUGUAGAGGUUAGCAAGAAGUGAAGUUUUUGCUAACUGAAGUUGGUAUUUGUAUAUUUUUACAUGGCAUUGUUGUGCUAAUAUAAUAAAUGACUUUUUUUAAACUUAAUGGAGAUUUUGAUAGUUGUGUAUUGUCAGCGCAGGUGUAGCAAUUUGUAAUAAAUGACAUUUUUCAACUGAAA